Molecule: transfer RNA, 73 nt
Filed under: Camelus bactrianus (Bactrian camel)
Lineage: Eukaryota; Metazoa; Chordata; Mammalia; Artiodactyla; Camelidae
Also listed under: 2 other names
Rfam family: tRNA
About the family: Transfer RNA (tRNA) molecules are approximately 80 nucleotides in length.
Source: Rfam by way of RNAcentral
GAGGGUGUAGCUCAAGUGGUAGAGCGCAUGCUUAGCAUGCAUGAGGUCCCGGGUUCAAUCCCCAGUACCUCCU